AUGGCGCGGACGACCUCAGGCGCCCGACGGCGGCCGAGCCGGGGAGUCGGCGCUGUGUCCUGUGGGGCGGCGGUUACCCGGGUGGCGUUCGGACCGCUGUUGUGUGGCUGCGCUGGCACUGCAGGGAGAGCCCGUCGUGGAGCGCUAGGAGCUGGGCAGUCUCUGGAGCUUCCGCGCCGACUUCUCCGACAACUGACUCGAGUUUCGAGGAGCAGUGAUACGGGCGGCCGCUGCGGGAGUCGGGCCCCACCUGGGACACGCCGGUUCCCUCCAGCUUCAACGACAUUGGCCAGGACUGGCGGCUAUGGCAUUUUGUCAACUGGGUGUGGUACGAACAGGAGGUGACCCUGCUGGAGCGAUGGAUCCAGGACCUGCGCACAGGAGUGGUGCUGAUUGGCAGUGCCCACUCCUAUGCCAUCGUGUGGGUGAAUGGGGUCAACGUGCUAGAGCAUGAAGGGGGCUACCUCCCCUUCGAGGCCAACAUCAGCAGCCUGUUUCAGGUGGGGCCCCUGCCCUCCCACCUCUGCAUCACUAUCGCCAUCCACAACAUGCUCACCCCCCGACCCUGCCACCAGGGACCAUCUGUACAUGACCGACACCUCCAAGUAUCCCAAGGGUUAGUCUGUCCAGAACACAGACUUUGACUUCUUCAACUACGCGGGACUGCAGUGGUCUGUGCUUCUGUAUUCGACACCCACCACCUACAUCGAUGACAUCACCGUCACCACCGGCAUGGAGCGAGACAGUGGGCUGGUGAAUUACCAGAUCUCUGUCAAGUGCAGUAACCAGUUCAAGUUGGAAGUGUGUCUUUUGGAUGCAGAAAACAAAGUCGUGGACAACCAGGCUGGGACCGAGGGCCAGCUGAAGGCGCCGGAUACCAACCUCUGGUGGCUGUACCUGAUGCACGAACACCCCGCCUACUUGUGCUCAUGGGAGGUGCGGCUGACUGCACAGACGUCACUGGGGCCUUUUUCUGACGUCUACACACUCCCUGUGGGGAUCCGCACUGUGCCCGUCACCGAGAGCCAGUUCCUCAUCAGUUGGAAACCUUUCUAUUUCCACAGCGUCAACAAACAUGAGGAUGCAGACGUGCAUUGGGGCUCCUGGGUCCUCGUGGGGCUGCUUCUGGUCACCUUCCACUUUCGCCUUCCCUGUGUCCUGCAGUUGAGGGCAGCUCAGGGCAAUGAGGCAAAUGGCUCCAAACCACCCCGCAGUGGAGCCGGUGCUUGGGCUGGAGAGGGGGCUCAUGGGGUGGCUCUCCAGGGUCGUGGCUCUCGGAGGAAGUGCAGCUUCGACAGGGACAGGGGUCACUUGGCUCUGCUGUCCCCUAGAUCCAAGGGAAGGGCUUCGACUGUCCGCUGCUGGUGAAGGACUUCAACCUGCUUUGCUGGCUUGGCACCAAUGCCUUCCGCACCAGCCACUAUCCCUACGAGGAGGAGAUGCUGCAGAUAUGUGACCGGUAUGGGAUUGUGGUCAUCGAUGAGUGUCCUGCUGUGGGCCUGAUGCUGCCAUGAGUCCCUGUCGCGCAUCCGCUCUGCCUGGGCAGCCCGCGGGCCACACUGUGACCCUCUGUCCCUUCCCUCCUGGCCCGCUGGCAGCUCUUCAACAACGUGUCUAUGCAUCACCACAUGUGGGUGGUGGAGAAACCGGUUCUCAGAGACAAGAAUCACCCUGCCAUGGUGAUGUAGUCUGUGGCCAACGAGCCUGCAUCCUACCUGGAAUCUGUUGGCUACUG
Nomascus leucogenys (northern white-cheeked gibbon) is the source of this 1735-nucleotide RNA transcript. It is a transcript of the gene named beta-glucuronidase-like, with no coding region annotated. The record is from RefSeq and is a predicted model, not a curated record. NCBI's taxonomy places the organism in Eukaryota, Metazoa, Chordata, Mammalia, Primates, Hylobatidae.